Long non-coding RNA from Syngnathus acus (greater pipefish), 951 nucleotides. RefSeq lists it as uncharacterized. Lineage: Eukaryota; Metazoa; Chordata; Actinopteri; Syngnathiformes; Syngnathidae. The transcript has 2 exons. The record is from RefSeq and is a predicted model, not a curated record.
CAAGUGCUUUUAAAUAAUGCCAAGUUUGUAGUAAGUUGUCACCUAUCAGCAGGUCAGACAAGAGGUUGAUUCCACAGGUUCAAAGCCUUGCAGAUCCACACCAGCAGAUCCAUGCUGCGGAAACUAGGUCCUUUGGCACCACCUGGUGGACAAAAGAAAGAACAAGCUUUCGACGCGUGCAUGUUUCACCAGUGAGGAAUGGAGGGCAGCGCCGGACGUCUCUCCAACCACAGCUCGCUGGUCUGAAAGACACGUCAAUCUGCUUCCUCUGUUCCAGAUGCAGGCCUGUGGACAGAAAUAAGACAAUUAAAAGCAGUCGAUUGAACGAGUUGACUUUAAAACUCACAAAGUCAGUCGGCCAUGACGGGCUCGUUUUGAGGGUUUGCACCUGCAGACAGAAAGUAGAAAAUUAACACGAAUGCAUCGAAAUACCUGUUUCAGUCAUUCUCUGGUGGAUUUAUGCAAACGCUGCUACGUCUACUUACCUUCGGCCAAACGACGCUGUCGUCCAGACGUUGCUAAAUGUUUGUGCAAAAAUUGUGUUAGUCAUCUUUCCACACGGUGCGUGCUUGAGUUUUCUAAAUGUACAUGUACUUACCCACCGUUAAAAGCUUGAGUUAUAUCGUUGCACCAAAAUGCACGCCAAAGAAAUGCCUUUUGGUGGUCGUUGAAGACGCUAACUGCUAACGCUAGCUUCUGCAAACUUUUUAGCUUGCAAGAUGGAAACACUCCCAAAGUGCAACUUGACGCUGAAAGAGAGAAAAAGCAGUUAGUUUAAAAAGAUGAACAAAUAUUGAACAUCCACCUUGUCAGUUGUGGAAUGGAGUGCGGCUGGCGCAGCAGGUGGACCAGAGCAGCGUGGCGCUCGCUGUCAGAGGAGAGUGAAAGACUGAUCGGCGCGUUCUUGACGCCUUUUAUACUCUUUUUGUGAUGACGUCAUUAAAAGAAGAA